GUUACGGCGGUUAUGGCGGGAAGGAAACACCCGGUUACAUUCCGAACCCGGAAGUUAAGCUUCCCUGCGCCGAUGGUACUGCACUCGGGAGGGUGUGGGAGAGUAGGUCACCGCCGGACAAU
Molecule: ribosomal RNA, 122 nt
Filed under: Nonomuraea gerenzanensis
Lineage: Bacteria; Bacillati; Actinomycetota; Actinomycetes; Streptosporangiales; Streptosporangiaceae
Also listed under: 1 other name
Source: RNAcentral